UGAGCAAUCUGCCCUUCUCUUUGGAAUAAGCGUUGGAAACGACGUCUAAUGCCGAAUACGACCUCCUUUCGCAUGAUCGGGA
RNAcentral lists this ribosomal RNA (82 nucleotides) under uncultured bacterium. RNAcentral's name for it is "partial 16S ribosomal RNA". The record is from RNAcentral.